GGCGCAAGCCUGAUCUAGCCAUGCCGCGUGUGUGAUGAAGGCCUUAGGGUCGUAAAGCACUUUCGCCAGAGAUGAUAAUGACAGUAUCUGGUAAAGAAACCCCGGCUAACUCCGUGCCAGCAGCCGCGGUAAUACGGAGGGGGUUAGCGUUGUUCGGAAUUACUGGGCGUAAAGCGCACGUAGGCGGACUGGAAAGUUGGGGGUGAAAUCCCAGGGCUCAACCCUGGAACUGCCUCCAAAACUAUCAGUCUAGAGUUCGAGAGAGGUGAGUGGAAUUCCGAGUGUAGAGGUGAAAUUCGUAGAUAUUCGGAGGAACACCAGUGGCGAAGGCGGCUCACUGGCUCGAUACUGUCGCUGAGGUGCGAAAGUGUGGGGAGCAAACAGGAUUAGAUACCCUGGUAGUCCACACCGUAAACGAUGAAUGCCAGUCGUCGGGUUGCAUGCAAUUCGGUGACACACCUAACGGAUUAAGCAUUCCGC
Molecule: ribosomal RNA, 480 nt
Filed under: DMSP-degrading marine bacterium JA34
Lineage: Bacteria; Pseudomonadati; Pseudomonadota; Alphaproteobacteria
Description: bacterial SSU rRNA
Rfam family: Bacterial small subunit ribosomal RNA
Source: RNAcentral